AAGGAGUCUAACAUAUGCGCAAGUCUUUGGGUGGCAAGCCCUUGGGCGCAAUGAAAGUGAAAUAGGUUUAGUUUUAUUACAAAAACCGGGCCGGGACUAUGGAAUUUAUUCCUUGUUCUGAGUUUACAAUUGAGCGUACAUGUUGGGACCCGAAGGAUGGUGAACUAUGCCUGAAUAGGGCGAAGCCAGAGGAAACUCUGGUGGAGGCUCGUAGCGGUUAUGACGUGCAAAUCUAUCGUUGAAUUUGAGUAUAGGGGCGAAAGACUAAUCGAACCAUUUAGUAGCUGGUUCCCAC
RNAcentral lists this unclassified non-coding RNA (295 nucleotides) under uncultured fungus. Its description in RNAcentral is "partial contains 5.8S rRNA, ITS2 and 28S rRNA". It matches the Rfam family "Eukaryotic large subunit ribosomal RNA", at positions 668 to 961 of the family's 3401-position model. The record is from RNAcentral. Lineage: Eukaryota; Fungi.